Molecule: ribosomal RNA, 229 nt
Filed under: uncultured bacterium
Lineage: Bacteria
Description: partial 16S ribosomal RNA
Rfam family: Bacterial small subunit ribosomal RNA
Source: RNAcentral
UCCGUAGGUGGAUCAAUAAGUCAGAGGUGAAAUCCUGCAGCUUAACUGUAGAACUGCCUUUGAAACUGUUGAUCUUGAGUCAUUAUGAAGUGGUUAGAAUGUGUAGUGUAGCGGUGAAAUGCAUAGAUAUUACACAGAAUACCGAUUGCGAAGGCAGAUCACUAAUAAUGUACUGACACUGAGGGACGAAAGCGUGGGGAGCGAACAGGAUUAGAUACCCUGGUAGUCC